RNAcentral lists this non-coding RNA (26 nucleotides) under Rattus norvegicus (Norway rat). The record is from RNAcentral. Lineage: Eukaryota; Metazoa; Chordata; Mammalia; Rodentia; Muridae.
UAUCUAAUGUAUGUGUGUCUUUGUAA